This 2317-nucleotide long non-coding RNA is filed under the name Cricetulus griseus (Chinese hamster). Its description in RNAcentral is "lncRNA (ENSCGRG00015039212.1)". Lineage: Eukaryota; Metazoa; Chordata; Mammalia; Rodentia; Cricetidae. The record is from RNAcentral.
CUGGGGACCUUCAUCUUGACCCCCUAAAGCUGAGAUUAUGAAUGAGCUUCCUCACAAACCUGAUAUUCAUAUGCAUGUUGGGGACCUGAGCUCCAGUUCUCAUGCUUGAAGGCACUUUACCCACUGGGCCAUUUCCCCAGCCACUCCCCAGUUAUCUCAGUGCCUGUGAUGAAACCUUCAAUAGUGAGCAUCAUUGCUCUCCCACCCCACCCUCACUCCCUGGCUGUCAUUCAAGUGUCUCCUGUGACUCCUGGUAACUGCUCUGGGUUUGUGGACCACACAGUCUCCAUCUCAACCAGGUAGACUGAGUCUAAAGGAUUGGUUAUAGCUGCAUGCCAAGAAACCUGCAGUGCCCAAAUGAGGUGGCAGCUGUAUUGACUCCAUGAGAAGUGGCCCACACACAACUGCUGAUAGCCCCGUUUUCUCAUUGCCUUUCUCUUUUCAGUGUAAGGAGAAACUGAGGGAGCCACUUCCCCCAAGUAUGCACUGGAGCUGCUCACAGUCUAUGCCUGGGAACAUGGGAGCCGACGCCUUGAGUUCAACACAGCCCAGGGAUUCCGGACAGUCUUGGAACUGGUCACCAACUACAGGAAUCUUUGAGUCUACUGGAGAGUGUAUUAUGACUUGCCAGACCGGGAGGUCUCCAAAUACUUGCUCAGACAACUUAGAAAAGACAGACCUGUGAUCCUGGACCCAGCUGACCCAACAAGGAACGUGGCUGGUGGGAACUCAUUGGGCUGGUGGCUGCUGGCUGGAGAGGCAACAACCUAGCUGGAGUACCCAUGUGUUAAGGAUUGUGAAAUGUCCCCAUUGCGCCCCUGGCCUGUGUCAGUGAGUCUUUGUCCUCAUCCUGUCCCCUUGCACACAGCUUUGAUCACUCCAUUUGUCUGGAGAAUAUUCUCACAAAGAUGGGGAGGCCAGCUGCUUCCCUGAUUUACAGCCAUCUUGUCGACAUUCAGAGAUUUCAUAGGCUGGGAAGAUGGCACAGUGGGUAAAGUGCGUGCCGCCAACACUAGUGACCUGGGCUUGAUCCCUAGAAUCCUGUGGUAGAAGGAGAGACCAACUCCUCCAGUUUUCCUCUGACCUUCACCUCUGUGCUGUUACAAAGCUGACAUGAACUCACACACACACACACAACACUAACACACACAUACACAGUUGCACACUCACACAUGUUGUCACUCACACAAACUCUAACUCACUCAUUCACACACUCAUACAUCCUCAUACAGACUCACUUUCAAACUCACACACUUACAAUAUACUCACAGUCACACACACACACACACACACACACACACACACACACACACACACGUGCACCCACACUCUGAAACACACACAGAGAUAGAGCUGAAGCCACUGGCUCAGCGACACUCAGCUAAGGAGAUCUUGGUCUGGGAUUCCCAUGGACUCUGAAGCCAGUGCUCAGGUCCAGGCAGCAGCAUCUCAUCAUCAUGUGGCCAAUGGAACUUGGGGUGUUGUGUCACAUCCAAAGAGGUGCGGAGGGACCUGCAUUUAAACCUUUCCUUUGCUGGGCAGGGGUCUUUUUAUGUUAGGGAACCGAUGAUGCCGUGUGUGGCCUCAGGAUGGAGGUUAGCAUGGGAGCAGGGAUGUUGGGACCAAACACCAAAUAUCAGAAAUGCAAGAAGGACAUGAGAGGGGACACAGGACAGGCAGCUGGGACUAUAGUGGAAUUAGGGCUGUCCUGCAGCAGACAGGUGUCUAGACCCUCUCUUCCACUUGGGAGAUCUGUUACUAAAUGUGAGAAACUCACAUGGGGCUGCAUGUACCCUCAGUAGGCUAAACCAUGAAGAUGUCCUGAUGGCCGUCUUCCCAACAUGGGGAUGUGAUGUCCCUUCUUCUGAGGGGCUCCAUGUGGCCAGUCAUGGUGCCCACCCUCAGGGCUGAUCCCAUUCCCAGUAGGAAUGAGGACUCCUGGCAUGAUUGUGUUUUGUGUUACAGGCAGAGUCUGAAGAGCCAUAGGAAUGCGUCCUCCUGUGAGCACAGCAGCACCUGCAAAGGAGGCUCUGGAGUCAGGGGAUGUGCUCCUCUGUGCAGGCCUUGACCAGAGAGGGCCGGGUGCUGCCCAAAACCCCAGUGAGAGAGUGUCCAACCUGGGGUCAGGCUCCAGGCUCCUGACCCCUGUCUGCCCACCCUUCCAUCCUACUCCAUCACAGACAGCUCUCCUCACUGUCUGCUUCAAACACCUGAUCCUCUGAUAGUGUUCUCAGGGGACAAGAGAUUCAGAAGGGAAGGAAGAACUCAAGCUUGACUUCCACCUGUGUAUCUCUUGGAGUGUUCUGUCCAAUGUCUG